Molecule: ribosomal RNA, 253 nt
Filed under: uncultured bacterium
Lineage: Bacteria
Description: partial 16S ribosomal RNA
Rfam family: Bacterial small subunit ribosomal RNA
Source: RNAcentral
CGUAGGUUGCAAGCGUUGUCCGGAUUUACUGGGUGUAAAGGGCGUGUAGGCGGAGAUGCAAGUCGGGAGUGAAAUCCAUGGGCUUAACCCAUGAACUGCUUUCGAAACUGUAUCCCUUGAGUAUCGGAGAGGCAAGCGGAAUUCCUAGUGUAGCGGUGAAAUGCGUAGAUAUUAGGAGGAACACCAGUGGCGAAGGCGGCUUGCUGGACGACAACUGACGCUGAGGCGCGAAAGCGUGGGAGCAAACAGGAUU